Molecule: ribosomal RNA, 378 nt
Filed under: uncultured archaeon
Lineage: Archaea
Description: bacterial SSU rRNA
Rfam family: Archaeal small subunit ribosomal RNA
Source: RNAcentral
UUCCGGUUGAUCCUGCCGGACUGACUGCUAUCGGAUUGAUACUAAGCCAUGCGAGUCAUUGUAGUAAUACAAGGCAGACGGCUCAGUAACGCGUAGUCAACCUAACCUAUGGACGGGGAUAAUCUCGGGAAACUGAGCAUAAUACCCGAUAGAACAUUAUGCCUGGAAUGGUUUAUGUUCCAAAUGAUUUAUCGCCGUAGGAUGGGACUGCGGCCUAUCAGUUUGUUGGUGAGGUAAUGGCCCACCAAGACUAUUACAGGUACGGGCUCUGAGAGGAGUAGCCCGGAGAUGGGUACUGAGACACGGACCCAGGCCCUAUGGGGCGCAGCAGGCGAGAAAACUUUGCAAUGUGCGAAAGCACGACAAGGUUAAUCCGAG